RNAcentral lists this ribosomal RNA (214 nucleotides) under Priestia megaterium. RNAcentral describes it as "partial 23S ribosomal RNA". It matches the Rfam family "Bacterial large subunit ribosomal RNA", at positions 1552 to 1766 of the family's 2925-position model. The record is from RNAcentral. Lineage: Bacteria; Bacillati; Bacillota; Bacilli; Caryophanales; Bacillaceae.
AAGGCUGAGCUGUGAUGACGAGGGAAUUAUAGUACCGAAGUUCCUGAUUCCACACUGCCAAGAAAAGCCUCUAGCGAGGCGGGAGGGGCCCGUACCGCAAACCGACACAGGUAGGCGAGGAGAGAAUCCUAAGGUGAUCGAGAGAACUCUCGUUAAGGAACUCGGCAAAAUGACCCCGUAACUUCGGGAGAAGGGGUGCUCUGGUAGGGUGUAU